UCGGAGAAUGGAUGUUGUGACCACGUACAAAAGUAUAAGAAACUUGAGUGCUUGUGUUGAGAAGAGGGUGAGAGUUGGGAUGGGUGGUUGGCUACAGUUUGGGAGGGAAGAGUUGGGAUGGGGAAGAAGAAGGAGAAAUAGAGGAAGAGAGAGUCGGCAGAGUGGGUAUAUAUUGUCUUUUACCGAUAGAAUCACCGAUGGAAACGUUCCAUCAAUAUACCCGUCGGUAAGUCCACCGGUGAUUGUUUCACGUCACUGUACG
This 262-nucleotide long non-coding RNA is filed under the name Populus trichocarpa (black cottonwood). RNAcentral's name for it is "long non-coding RNA (PTRI_LNC001984)". Lineage: Eukaryota; Viridiplantae; Streptophyta; Magnoliopsida; Malpighiales; Salicaceae. The record is from RNAcentral.